Molecule: ribosomal RNA, 606 nt
Filed under: Triticum aestivum (bread wheat)
Lineage: Eukaryota; Viridiplantae; Streptophyta; Magnoliopsida; Poales; Poaceae
Description: partial small subunit ribosomal RNA
Source: RNAcentral
AUGCGGGGUUCGUCGUUGACGACGAGGAAGGCCGGAGCGCGGCUUCUCGGGCGGAUCCAUGGCGGCUCCUGGGCAGAUAGGAGAUAUGGAGGUGAGGUGGAGAAGAAGGAGCUCGCCGGAGCCGGGCGACGGCAGAUGGGGGCGGGAGACGGAUGGAUCCGGCCCAGCGGCGCGAAGUUCUUGCAGGUGGAGACGGGGUUGGUUCUGCGCGCAAACGCCCACCUUGGCCGCCUCCGACGACUCAUCGCCGCCGUGGGAGUCAUGAACUCCGACCACGGGGACUCGCACGCCCUGCAGCGGCCGGAACUGGCUGAAGGUCAUUCGACAUCCUCGACUUCAUGCCUUCCCCACGCCCUCCUCCAUCCACGACCUCUGCUAAGGACUUAUGCUACUCCCAGCUCAAGCUCCUCAAGCAUGCUGCAUGCUACUUCUUCCCUACAUCCUGAAGAUGUCACCUUUAUUGCUGAUGAGUUAAUGUUUGAUGCAACCCUGCAAUCUACAAUUUGCCCGUCAGAAGGUUACCUGAAGCUUAAAAUAGAGAAAAUGGCUAUUAACCUCAUGAUUUUGUGUACUAAGUCACAAGGUAUUUUAUUCUCAACCAAAUAA